UAGAGUUGUAAAACUCCCAAAACCCAUGUGAACAUACCUCUGUUGCCUCGGCGGACUACAGGGCAACUACGAAUAGCUACCAGGUAGGCCACCGAAGGACCACUAAACUCUGUUUUUUUAAUAUCUCUGAGUCAACUAUAAAUAAGUUA
Molecule: unclassified non-coding RNA, 149 nt
Filed under: uncultured Xylariales
Lineage: Eukaryota; Fungi; Ascomycota; Sordariomycetes; Xylariales
Description: sequence contains ITS1
Source: RNAcentral